RNAcentral lists this ribosomal RNA (1836 nucleotides) under Triticum aestivum (bread wheat). Its description in RNAcentral is "partial small subunit ribosomal RNA". Lineage: Eukaryota; Viridiplantae; Streptophyta; Magnoliopsida; Poales; Poaceae. The record is from RNAcentral.
AUGGGCAACGAGAUGUCGCCCCUCCAGAAGCACCGCGCGGAAUACCGCCCCGAGCUCCCGCCCUGGCUCCAGGGCACCGCGGUGAAGGUGGAGUACGGCGACGCCGCGAUCGCGGCUGACGGCGCUGACGCGCAUGUGAUCCGCCGCGCGUUCCCGCACACCUAUGGCCAGCGGCUGGCGCAUUUCCUCCCGAAGACGGCCAAUGCGCCGGACGCUACGGUCAUAACAGAGCACCCUGCCGUCAGGGUUGGUGUCGUCUUCAGUGGUAGGCAGUCCCCUGGUGGUCACAAUGUUGUAUGGGGACUAUAUAAUGCUAUAAAUUCUCACAACCCAAGCAGCGAGCUUAUCGGUUUUCUUGGCGGAACUGAUGGCUUGUUUGCUCAGAAAACUUUGGAAAUCACUGAGGAAGUUUUUUCUUCCUAUAAAAAUCAAGGUGGUUAUUAUAUGCUAGGUCGAACUAGGGACCAAAUCAGAACAACUGAACAAGUAAAGGCAGCAAUGACUACUUGCCAAGCUUUGAAGUUGGAUGCUCUUGUAAUAAUUGGAGGUGUCACAUCCAACACGGAUGCUGCUCAGCUUGCUGAGACUUUUGCUGAGUCGAAAUGUUCAACAAAGGUAGUUGGUGUUCCUGUAACUUUGAAUGGUGACCUUAAGAACCAGUUUGUCGAGACAACUGUUGGUUUCGAUACCAUAUGCAAGGUGAACUCACAGCUCAUAAGUAAUGUCUGCACUGAUGCUCUUUCUGCUGAGAAGUAUUACUACUUCAUUCGCUUGAUGGGGCGGAAAGCAUCUCAUGUGGCCUUGGAAUGUGCUCUUCAGUCACAUCCAAAUAUGGUCUUGCUAGGGGAGGAGGUUGCUGCGUCAAAACUUACAAUUUCUGAUAUUACAAAGCAGAUAUGUGAUGCUGUCCAGGCAAGGGCUGAAAAAGAUAAAUACCAUGGUGUUAUACUUAUUCCCGAGGGCCUUGUCGAGAGUAUACCUGAAUUAUAUGCUUUGCUUCAGGAAAUUCAUGGGCUACAUGAUAAAGGUGUUUUCAUUGAGAACAUCUCUUCUCAUCUUUCGCCUUGGGCUUCUGCACUAUUUGACUUUCUGCCUCCAUUUAUCAGGAAACAGCUACUUCUGCAUCCAGAAUCUGACGACUCUGCUCAGCUUUCUCAGAUUGAGACUGAGAAGCUUCUAGCCCAGUUAGUUGAGACAGAAAUCAACAAACGUCUGGAGGAAGGCACUUACAAAGGAAAGAAGUUCAAUGCAAUUUGCCACUUUUUUGGCUACCAAGCAAGAGGCGCCCUGCCGUCAAACUUUGAUUGCGAUUACGCCUAUGUUCUCGGUCAUGUAUGCUAUCACAUCUUAGCUGCUGGUCUGAAUGGCUACAUGGCCACUGUAACUAAUCUAAAAAGUCCUGUGGACCAGUGGAAAUGUGGUGCUGCUCCUAUUACGUCUAUGAUGACGGUAAGGGGAUGGUCUCGCGGUCCCACUGCCAGUCAAAUUGGGAAGCCCGCUGUCCACAUAGCAAGCGUCGACUUAAAAGGAAAAGCAUACGAGCUGCUGAGGCAAAACUCUUCCAGCCUCCUGAUGGAAGACAUCUACAAGAACCCUGGACCGCUGCAAUUCCAAGGACCGGGUGCCGACUUAAAGCCCAUCUCGCUGUGCGUGGAAGACCGGGACUACAUGGGGAGGAUCAAACAGCUGCAGGAGUAUCUGGAGAAGGUGAAGAACAUCGUGAAGCCUGGGUGCUCGCAGGAUGUGCUGAAAGCUGCACUGAGCUCCAUGGCACAUGUGACGGAGCUGCUGACCAUCAUGUCUUCUCCGUCUUACAGUGGCCAGGCGACCAUCUGA